GACGAACGCUGGCGGCGUGCCUAAUACAUGCAAGUGGAACGCUGAAGAGAGGAGCUUGCUCUUCUUGGACGAGUUGCGAACGGGUGAGUAACGCGUAGGUAACCUGCCUUGUAGCGGGGGAUAACUAUUGGAAACGAUAGCUAAUACCGCAUAACAAUAGGUGACACAUGUCAUUUAUUUGAAAGGGGCAAUUGCUCCACUACAAGAUGGACCUGCGUUGUAUUAGCUAGUAGGUGAGGUAACGGCUCACCUAGGCGACGAUACAUAGCCGACCUGAGAGGGUGAUCGGCCACACUGGGACUGAGACACGGCCCAGACUCCUACGGGAGGCAGCAGUAGGGAAUCUUCGGCAAUGGGGGCAACCCUGACCGAGCAACGCCGCGUGAGUGAAGAAGGUUUUCGGAUCGUAAAGCUCUGUUGUAAGUCAAGAACGAGUGUGAGAGUGGAAAGUUCACACUGUGACGGUAGCUUACCAGAAAGGGACGGCUAACUACGUGCCAGCAGCCGCGGUAAUACGUAGGUCCCGAGCGUUGUCCGGAUUUAUUGGGCGUAAAGCGAGCGCAGGCGGUUUGAUAAGUCUGAAGUUAAAGGCUGUGGCUCAACCAUAGUUCGCUUUGGAAACUGUCAAACUUGAGUGCAGAAGGGGAGAGUGGAAUUCCAUGUGUAGCGGUGAAAUGCGUAGAUAUAUGGAGGAACACCGGUGGCGAAAGCGGCUCUCUGGUCUGUAACUGACGCUGAGGCUCGAAAGCGUGGGGAGCGAACAGG
This 765-nucleotide ribosomal RNA is filed under the name uncultured Streptococcus sp. RNAcentral describes it as "bacterial SSU rRNA". It matches the Rfam family "Bacterial small subunit ribosomal RNA", at positions 28 to 776 of the family's 1533-position model. The record is from RNAcentral. Lineage: Bacteria; Bacillati; Bacillota; Bacilli; Lactobacillales; Streptococcaceae.